This 440-nucleotide ribosomal RNA is filed under the name uncultured bacterium. RNAcentral's name for it is "partial 16S ribosomal RNA". It matches the Rfam family "Bacterial small subunit ribosomal RNA", at positions 338 to 795 of the family's 1533-position model. The record is from RNAcentral.
CCUACGGGUGGCAGCAGUGGGGAAUAUUGCACAAUGGGGGAAACCCUGAUGCAGCAACGCCGCGUGAGUGAAGAAGUAUUUCGGUAUGUAAAGCUCUAUCAGCAGGGAAGAAAAUGACGGUACCUGACUAAGAAGCCCCGGCUAACUACGUGCCAGCAGCCGCGGUAAUACGUAGGGGGCAAGCGUUAUCCGGAUUUACUGGGUGUAAAGGGAGCGUAGACGGCAGUACAAGUCUGAAGUGAAAGCCCGGGGCUUAACCCCGGAACUGCUUUGGAAACUGUAAAGCUAGAGUGCAGGAGAGGCAAGCGGAAUUCCUAGUGUAGCGGUGAAAUGCGUAGAUAUUAGGAGGAACACCAGUGGCGAAGGCGGCUUGCUGGACUGAAACUGACGUUGAGGCUCGAAAGCGUGGGGAGCAAACAGGAUUAGAUACCCUGGUAGUC